This 119-nucleotide ribosomal RNA is filed under the name Pteropus alecto (black flying fox). The record is from RNAcentral. Lineage: Eukaryota; Metazoa; Chordata; Mammalia; Chiroptera; Pteropodidae.
GUCUAUGGCCAUGCCAACCCGAACGUGCCUGAUCUCGUCUGAUCUUGGAAGCUAAGCAGGAUCAGGUCUGGUUAGUAUUUGGAUGGGAGACCAUCUAGGAAGACCAGGUGCUGUAGGCG